GUGCCAGCCGCUGCGGUAAUACGUAGGGCGCAAGCGUUGUCCGGAAUUAUUGGGCGUAAAGAGCUCGUAGGCGGUUUGUCGCGUCUGCUGUGAAAACUGGAGGCUCAACCUCCAGCCUGCAGUGGGUACGGGCAGACUAGAGUGCGGUAGGGGAGAUUGGAAUUCCUGGUGUAGCGGUGGAAUGCGCAGAUAUCAGGAGGAACACCGAUGGCGAAGGCAGAUCUCUGGGCCGUAACUGACGCUGAGGAGCGAAAGCGUGGGGAGCAAACAGGCUUAGAUACCCUGGUAGUCCACGCCGUAAACGUUGGAACUAGUUGUGGGACCAUUCCACGGUCUCCGUGACGCAGCUAACGCAUUAACGUUCCCGCCUGGGACGUACGGCCGCAAGGCU
RNAcentral lists this ribosomal RNA (391 nucleotides) under uncultured Microbacterium sp. RNAcentral's name for it is "bacterial SSU rRNA". It matches the Rfam family "Bacterial small subunit ribosomal RNA", at positions 505 to 895 of the family's 1533-position model. Lineage: Bacteria; Bacillati; Actinomycetota; Actinomycetes; Micrococcales; Microbacteriaceae. The record is from RNAcentral.